GACGAACCGUGCGAACGUUGUUCGGAAUCACUGGGCUUAAAGGGCGCGUAGGCGGGCUCGCAAGUCAGGGGUGAAAUCCCACGGCUCAACCGUGGAAGUGCCUUUGAUACUGCGGGCCUUGAGGGAGGUAGGGGCGUGCGGAACUUCCGGUGGAGCGGUGAAAUGCGUAGAUAUCGGAAGGAACACCGGUGGCGAAAGCGGCGCGCUGGACCUCUUCUGACGCUGAGGCGCGAAAGCCAGGGGAGCAAACGGG
RNAcentral lists this ribosomal RNA (253 nucleotides) under uncultured bacterium. RNAcentral describes it as "partial 16S ribosomal RNA". It matches the Rfam family "Bacterial small subunit ribosomal RNA", at positions 524 to 776 of the family's 1533-position model. The record is from RNAcentral.